Molecule: ribosomal RNA, 922 nt
Filed under: uncultured bacterium
Lineage: Bacteria
Description: bacterial SSU rRNA
Rfam family: Bacterial small subunit ribosomal RNA
Source: RNAcentral
CGGACGCUUAAGUCAGCGGUAAAAUUGCGGGGCUCAACCUCGUCGAGCCGUUGAAACUGGGUGCCUUGAGUGGGCGAGAAGUACGCGGAAUGCGUGGUGUAGCGGUGAAAUGCAUAGAUAUCACGCAGAACCCCGAUUGCGAAGGCAGCAUACCGGCGCCCUACUGACGCUGAGGCACGAAAGUGCGGGGAUCAAACAGGAUUAGAUACCCUGGUAGUCCGCACAGUAAACGAUGAAUGCUAGCUGUCCGGGGGGAUUGACCCCUGGGUGGCACAGCGAAAGCGUUAAGCAUUCCACCUGGGGAGUACGCCGGCAACGGUGAAACUCAAAGGAAUUGACGGGGGCCCGCACAAGCGGAGGAACAUGUGGUUUAAUUCGAUGAUACGCGAGGAACCUUACCCGGGCUCAAACGCCGAAGGAACAUUCCCCGAAAGGGGAAUGGCCAGCAAUGGUCUUCGGCGAGGUGCUGCAUGGUUGUCGUCAGCUCGUGCCGUGAGGUGUCGGCUUAAGUGCCAUAACGAGCGCAACCCCCACCGACAGUUGCUAACUGGUCAAGCAGAGGACUCUGUCGGGACUGCCGGCGCAAGCUGCGAGGAAGGCGGGGAUGACGUCAAAUCAGCACGGCCCUUACGUCCGGGGCGACACACGUGUUACAAUGGCAGGUACAGCGGGAUGCCAUGGGGCGACCCAGAGCGGAACCCGAAAACCUGUCUCAGUUCGGAUUGGAGUCUGCAACCCGACUCCAUGAAGCUGGAUUCGCUAGUAAUCGCGCAUCAGCCACGGCGCGGUGAAUACGUUCCCGGGCCUUGUACACACCGCCCGUCAAGCCAUGGGAGCCGGGGGUGCCUGAAGGCCGUGACCGCGAGGAGCGGCCUAGGGUAAAACUGGUGACUGGGGCUAAGUCGUAACAAGGUAACCGUAA